Molecule: unclassified non-coding RNA, 245 nt
Filed under: Acacia cyclops
Lineage: Eukaryota; Viridiplantae; Streptophyta; Magnoliopsida; Fabales; Fabaceae
Description: partial external transcribed spacer
Source: RNAcentral
CUCCAUCCGGCGCCUUCCAACGGGCAUAGGAGGACAACAAACCACCCCCUGCGUUCCGCCGAGCCCUCUCGGUCGCGUGGCGCGCGGAGAUGUGCGAUGCUCUCGGACCUAGCGAACGCUGUGGGCGAGGACUCAUGUCCCAGUCCCGAAAAGAAGGUUCGAUAUAAUGCAUGAUGGCUACUCCCGCCCUUCGACCGCCCCUGCGGCGCGGGGGCGAGGCGCGGCGUCACGGAGGAAUGCUACCU